GCAGUCGUGGCCGAGUGGUUAAGGCGGUGGACUAGAAAUCCAUUGGGGUUUCCCCGCACAGGUUUGAAUCCUGUCGACUGCG
Molecule: transfer RNA, 82 nt
Filed under: Ixodes scapularis (black-legged tick)
Lineage: Eukaryota; Metazoa; Arthropoda; Arachnida; Ixodida; Ixodidae
Rfam family: tRNA
About the family: Transfer RNA (tRNA) molecules are approximately 80 nucleotides in length. Their secondary structure includes four short double-helical elements and three loops (D, anti-codon, and T loops).
Source: Rfam by way of RNAcentral